GAUAAAGGCAAAUAUGUAGCUGGAGACGCUAAAGUUAGCAAAAAAACAACAGGGUUACUCGGCGCAGAAAUGUUAUAUGAAGCUUUUGGUAUAACUUACUGUAAGGGGAAAAUUAAUAUUAGUCAUGUUUGAAGAGAGACCAGAACAUUAACAUUUUUGUUUUCAUAAUGAGGUAUGACCAUAUGAACUAGCAUGCUAUAGUUAGCUAAAAACAACAGAAUUAUUCAGUGCAGAAAUGAGACAUGCAGCGCUUGAUAUGUGCUUCCUGGACAUGGGGAAGGUUAUUAUCAGUCAUGUUUGAAGAGAAAACUGAGCAUAAACAUUAUCGCUGUCUAAAUGAGGUGUGACCAUAUAGAUCAGCAUGGCUAAUGAAAGAACUCACUAUGUUGGAUUCCUUCUUAUUUGUUCUCCUCCACAUGAAGCAGGUGACACUGUUCUUCCUAACUUAGUUGUGGUACCCUUUGACAUAUAAUACAAAAGGUGUAUCUUAUAUAAAUGCAGUGAAUUUACAACGUCCUUGACGAUGACCUCCUAGUUCUCUUUUUCCCUCACAAGCAAGCCUCUUCUCCCUCCCUACUGUACUCGCAGCUCAGCGCUAUUUCUUCCUCUAUGUAUCCAUUAAUUGAGUAAUUUGAUUUCCUUUCCCGUAAGCGUAAUUUUUUCAGCUCGGUGAACCAGUGCAUAAUUAGCUGAGAACAACCUGCUGUGUGGCCUCUUAAGAGGUCUGUUUCGCCAUAUUGUCGCAUGCAGUCGCAUAGCAGAACCGCGUAUAUACUGUAUAGAUACACUCAGUGGAGUCAACAGUGUUUGUGCACUAUUGGGAUCUGAAGUAUAGGAUAGCCCUAGCCCCCCUAAAAUCAGGCCUGGUCCCUUUUAGAUGGAAUUUUCUUAAAUGAAGGUUCGAUGAGAGAUCUGUCAUUCCUGAGUUUGCCCACUGUGACAUUGGUGCUUAUCUUCUUCACUCACUUGCGUUUUUUUUUUUUUUGGGGGGGGAUGUCGUCACAGGGAUUUACUCUCUUUUAUUUAUUUAAGCCAUGCAGCUCUGUGAAGGAAUGUGAUGUUGCUCUAAAUAUUCCAUGAAAAUACUUCUGUAGCGGUAAUAGGAAUAUUAGUCAUGAACCACUGACAGUACAACUAGAAACUAACAUGCAGAUUUUUUUUUUCUGAGAAAGUUUGUCUGAUUCUAGAAAGAAAAAUGUGUCACAACUGGACAUUGACAUGAACGCAACGGAUUUCUGUUAUGUUAAACUCCUUUAUGCUUGAGUCCACGCCCACUUAACCCUUAAUAGGGCACACAAUUAACUCAUUGGCUGCCAUUGACGGUGCCAAACGGCCGAUCAAUCUCGACUGGGAGAGUUUGGCACCGACAGAUCACUGCCAGCCCUACCAGUAAAAAUGGAUUGGACAUCUAGCGCUGUCAAUGGCACUGAAAGAUAAGCAUUCACAGCCAGGAUUCCCAGUUUAAAUUGAUUGAACCUCUAUCGUUGUCAAUGGCAAGCAAUUAGGUAAAUUCUUUUUUUUUUUUUUUUUUUGUUCCUGUUGUUUUUAAUCAACUAAUGAGUUCUGUAUUAUUAGUUUUAUUAUUAUUUUUUGUGUUUUUAUUGGCAUUUCAUUAAUAAAUAAUUGUAUCUAUGUACAGAAAAUGCAUAGAAUAACUCGAUAAUGAUUGGUUAAAAAGGAGAAAAAAAUAUAUCUAUAAAUAUACAUAUAUAUACAUAUAUACAUAUAUAUAUAUAUAUAUAUAUAUAUGUAUAUAUGACGGAAAACACAGACAAGGCUUAAAACCCAGUUUCUGCUCUUGCACCCCUCUUUAAAAUAAACUGCUGUAUUUUAAGCCAAAAGAACUGUUGUGCUUGAUAGAACAAUAUGUCUAUAUGCUGCCAUAGCAGAUUCAUUGCGCACUAAGCCUCCGAACUAUUUUUUGAUUUGUCCGUUUUACUCCGAAAACCCCCGUUUACAGACGUCGCGCAACCGCUUUUGUUUCAACCUAGCCAUAAAAAGAAGGUAAGUAAUCAUAUUUAUUAUUCAAAAUGUCUGUCAUUUUAACUUAGAAUCAUUAAUUGAUAUCUACAUUUUAUUUUAGAAACAAAAAAGCCACGUGUUCUACAAAGGGUUAACCCUCUUUUAAACAUGCUGACUUAAACCACUCAUCGAUUGUACAUCCCGCAGCCUCAUCGAUCUUGUUCAUGCGGGAUUAUUGCAUGUAAGCAGAAAAAAAUGCUUUGUUAGAAUAUACACACAAAAAGGAGAAAGAAAAAUGUCCCUCGACAAACAAGACCUACUUCACUCUUCAAUUUAGUCUUGACAACAUAAACUCAUCAAUACACUUCCUCAAUUUUCAGUCUAUCAAUUCACAGUUUGCUGGUUGAUAUUCAGGGCCUGCUGACCUUGCAGUCUGCCGCUUUAAAAAGUACACAAAAAGAAGAACUGGUGAUGUGCCUGCCUGCGGUUGAGCCUGGCUGCCAGUGAGUGUGCAUUCUGAAUGUUCACCUGGCCUGCAUCACAGACAAGAUUUGGAAAUUUAAUUGUGGCUGCAGGGCACAAUGGGAAUACUUUGUUUUAAAAAAAAAAAAAAAAAAAAAGAUGAGACGGAAGAAUAAAGGUACGGGUGUAUGUGGUGGGCUUUGUGUUGCAUUUGUUUCUUUCUAAUGUUGGGCGCUAAGUUAACCCUUGUGCAGUAUUGCGCCAAAUCCUGGCGUUUUGCUUUGUUACUCAUCAUAUUAUCAUAUAUAAAGCAUAUCAAAAAAUAAGCUAGAGGGCUGAAAAUUGUCAAAAAAUGUCAAAACAUGUUUACCUUCAAAAUGGCACCAUCCACAAUUUCAAAAUUGGUAUUGUCAUUAUUAUAUGUGGGAGGCCUACUUUUUUGUGACGCAGAGAGUAUUACGCCAACUUUCGUCCCCAUUGACUCCCAUUAUAAAUCCCAAUUUCUCAUGUUUUUUGAUGCACUGCCACCUGGUGUGUGAAAGUGCAUUUCCCACGAUUACACAAUUUAUGGCUUCAGCGGGGUGUCAACUGACACGAGAUUGUAACGGAUCCUGGAUGAAUAUCUUAAAAACAAAAAAUCCAGCAGGGGACACUAGACUAUUAUUUAUCAUUUUUCUUGAUUGAUCCCUCAUUGUCAAACGCAUUUACUUACUACCAAAAAAAGAAGUUUUCAUGUUGAGCUUUGAUCGAACGGGCCAGUGUGUGGACUCACGAACACUUGUGUGUGAGUGGGUGUGUGCACGCGCGUGUGAGGGUGGGGGUGUGCACGCGCGUAUGUGGGUAUGUGUGUGUGUGUGCGCGCGCACUUUGCCUGUUCAAUGGGACAGUAUGAGUUGACUUUUGUGACGUUUGACUUUAUGACGCGACUGUGGGAGAAAUCGUGUGCGUUUGUACAUGCACGCGCACUCUCACGUCGCCGAGCGUGUGCGUAUGUGUGUGCUUGUACUUUUGCGUGCAGAGGUCUGCAGAAGGCGGCUUUGAAUGCACUUCAAAGCACCUUGUCUGCAGGGCGCAAAAAGGUGUUUGAUGUGACACAUUUUGAGAAUUCAAAAUGCAGUUGUUUAUUGAAUCUCAACUCUUAUUGGUAGAAUGUUUUACUUUUUCCUCCUCCCAUUGGCUCAGUGAAUGGUCACGUUUGUAAACAACUUUAUAUGGGGUCCAACGGCUCAAAGGCCAUUUUACUCCCUGUGACUGCUGGUGAGCAGAGAUGGCGAGAAUAUUUUUUCUUGAGGAGGCAAGAAAAAUGGUGUUGGAGGAGGAAUGUCCCACAGACUCAAUGGAUGAAAAGGAUGAUGUGUCACAAGACUAUGAUGAAGAUUUUGAGCCACUUGUAGGAGAGGAGGAAGAGGAUGAUGAUUAGGAUUUUGAGGAGGUUACAGCAGAAGCAGCAGAGGAGCAACAACAACAGAAUCAGGUCAGCACUCCAUGGCUUGCCAAAAACCAAGAAAUUGUGUGGUCCUCUACAAAUGAAGUUUCGAGGCACUUCAACCUGCCCCCUAUUCUAUUGCCUGGCCCAACGCUUUUUGCAAUUGCCAGGAUCAGUAGCCCCGAGACUACUGUCAAUCUGUUUUGCCCGGACGACAUUAUCCAGCAGAUUGUCUAAAAAAAAAAAGCCCAAGAUUAUUUUGGACUACGAUCUGUGUAAAGCGGCAGUCGAUCACUUGGACCAGGCAUCUGCCACAUAUUCUUGCUGCUGGAGGACAUUACGAUGGCCAAUGUCCAUAUCAUAUCAUAUGCUGGAUCUGUCUCUCUUCAAUGCAUUCACCCUCUUUACUCAGGUGGACCCCGCAGUGGUGGCCACGCCACAAAGCCAGAAAUGUGGGCAAUGUGGCCUUUGCAUUAACCGACUACGGGCAUCAAACAUUAGCUGCAAAUGUGGCAUUUUCUUUAGCCAAAAACAUGGCCAAAAAGUGUGCAAAUUGUUUUUUUUUUUAAAAAAAAGCUCACUGGUUGUUUGUUGUUCUAGUUGAGUUGUUUGUUGUUCUAGUGCAGUAGUUUGUUGUUGUGCGUUUGAGUUAUAUAGAUUCUGUUAAUUCAAAAUUCUUCUAGUUGUUGUGACUUGUUGACUGUUAUUCUGAUGCCAGUGAAUAUUUUUAGUGGUUGAAGGUAAAAAAAAAACAAUAUUCAGAAAUGACUUAGUUGUCACACUUCCAAGAGUGACUUUUGGCUCCAAUACUGCAAGAGGGGUAAACAUUUUCCAUUUCAUUUUCAGAUGUCACAAGUAAAAAAAUAUUCAGAAAUGACUUAGUUACACACCCUCAAGAGGGCGCAAGGCUUCAUCCCCAAUACUGCGAGAGGGGUAAAAAUUUUGAAAUUGCCAUUGUCUAAAAAUGUUGAGUUCCUCAAAUAAAUUUUGAUGUUAUAAUUUAUUAACAUA
This is a long non-coding RNA of Corythoichthys intestinalis (scribbled pipefish), 4861 nucleotides long. RefSeq lists it as uncharacterized. The transcript has 2 exons. NCBI's taxonomy places the organism in Eukaryota, Metazoa, Chordata, Actinopteri, Syngnathiformes, Syngnathidae. The record is from RefSeq and is a predicted model, not a curated record.